CAGCCGUAAACUAUGCGCGUUAGGUGUAUCGGUGACCACGAGUUACCGAGGUGCCGAAGGGAAACCGUGAAACGUGCCGCCUGGGAAGUACGGUCGCAAGGCUGAAACAUAAAGGAAUUGGCGGGGGAGCACAACAACGGGUGGAGCCUGCGGUUUAAUUGGACUCAACGCCGGACAACUCACCGGGAACGACAGCAAUAUGUAGGCCAGGCUGAAGACCUUGCCUGAAUCGCUGAGAGGAGGUGCAUGGCGUAGACGUCU
Molecule: ribosomal RNA, 261 nt
Filed under: uncultured archaeon
Lineage: Archaea
Description: partial 16S ribosomal RNA
Rfam family: Archaeal small subunit ribosomal RNA
Source: RNAcentral